CACGUAGGCACCAAGCGUUGUCCGGAUUUAUUGGGCGUAAAGAGCUCGUAGGCGGUUCAGUAAGUGGGGUGUGAAAUCUCCGGGCUUAACUCGGAACGGUCAAGUGAUACUGUCGGGCUAGAGUGCAGAAGGGGCAACUGGAAUUCUCGGUGUAGCGGUGAAAUGCGUAGAUAUCGAGAGGAACACCUGCGGCGAAGGCGGGUUGCUGGGCUGACACUGACGCUGAGGCGCGAAAGCCAGGGGAGCGAACGGG
Molecule: ribosomal RNA, 253 nt
Filed under: uncultured bacterium
Lineage: Bacteria
Description: partial 16S ribosomal RNA
Rfam family: Bacterial small subunit ribosomal RNA
Source: RNAcentral